RNAcentral lists this ribosomal RNA (252 nucleotides) under uncultured bacterium. Its description in RNAcentral is "partial 16S ribosomal RNA". It matches the Rfam family "Bacterial small subunit ribosomal RNA", at positions 524 to 776 of the family's 1533-position model. The record is from RNAcentral.
UACGUAGGGGGCUAGCGUUGUCCGGAAUCAUUGGGCGUAAAGAGCGUGUAGGCGGCCGGUAAGUCCGCUGUAAAAGUCAAAGGCUCAACCUUUGAAUGUCAGUGGAUACUGCCGGGCUAGAGUCCGGAAGAGGCGAGUGGAACUCCUGGUGUAGCGGUGGAAUGCGCAGAUAUCAGGAAGAACACCAACGGCGAAGGCAGCUCGCUGGGACGGUACUGACGCUGAGACGCGAAAGCGUGGGGAGCGAACAGG